GGGCCCAUAGCUCAGCUGGUAGAGCGCUUGGCUGGCAGCCAAGAGGUCAGGGGUUCGAGUCCCCUUGGGUCCA
RNAcentral lists this transfer RNA (73 nucleotides) under Pseudomonadota bacterium. Its description in RNAcentral is "tRNA-Ala". It matches the Rfam family "tRNA". Rfam says of the family: Transfer RNA (tRNA) molecules are approximately 80 nucleotides in length. Lineage: Bacteria; Pseudomonadati; Pseudomonadota. The record is from RNAcentral. RNAcentral also lists the same sequence under 2 other names.